Molecule: long non-coding RNA, 662 nt
Organism: Harmonia axyridis
Lineage: Eukaryota; Metazoa; Arthropoda; Insecta; Coleoptera; Coccinellidae
Exons: 3
Source: RefSeq, a predicted model, not a curated record
AUUCUUGAGAGUAUUCAGCUGAUUAUCAUUUCUGACAUAAAGAGCUUCUUUAUUCAGAAACUAUCAAAGAUAAAUUGAUACAAGAAUCGAUUACUAUCCCAAAUUACAUCUAUUUUAAUACAUUGAUAAAGUUGAUGAUUAAAAUCAAGAUAUCAAUUUUGAAGAAAAGGCUAACCAUAGAGGCUCCAAACAAGUCCAAAACAGGAGACAAACCAUUGUAAAGCGCCGCAACACGGUGUAUUUUUUGAUGUCUUAUUAUUGAUGUUAUUUAUAAAAUCAAGAAACAUACGCAUGGAGUGUAUUAAGAGACGGAAAUACAUGGGAAUAACAAAGGCCUAUAUGGAAACCAACAAUACUAUAGGAUAAAAUAACUCAACAAAACAAUAAAAUAAAAUCUGAGAAGUAAAAAAACAUUCCUUAAGCAACCUGUCAUACAGCAAGCUAUAAAGAUUAAAUCCAUAGUCCUGACUUUCAACACAUUCUGACAUCUAUUUGUUGGAAAUGAGCAAUACAGCAACAACUUUUUAAUGGAAUUCAUUAAGAAGAGAUUAUUUUAGAUUGAGAAGGAUUAAAUUCAUAUGGAAAAGUUAAUUUAUUUGGGCGUUCAUUCUUUAAACAAAAUCAUUUUUUAUUUUUUCAUUAUCAUGCAAUAAUAGAAUGAU